GGGGUUGUAGCUCAGUGGUAGAGCACUUGCCUAGCAUGUGUGAGGCACUAAGUUCAAUCCUUAGCAGUAUUU
Molecule: non-coding RNA, 72 nt
Organism: Ictidomys tridecemlineatus (thirteen-lined ground squirrel)
Lineage: Eukaryota; Metazoa; Chordata; Mammalia; Rodentia; Sciuridae
Source: Rfam